Molecule: ribosomal RNA, 1337 nt
Filed under: Agrobacterium sp.
Lineage: Bacteria; Pseudomonadati; Pseudomonadota; Alphaproteobacteria; Hyphomicrobiales; Rhizobiaceae
Also listed under: 1 other name
Description: bacterial SSU rRNA
Rfam family: Bacterial small subunit ribosomal RNA
Source: RNAcentral
AAGUUUUGCAGGUCCAUGUAACAGGUUAAAGUGUGAUCGGGUCUCGGAAAAGGACACCGGGAACCGUUGAACCUGGUGAGACCGUACCCUUUCCUGCGGGAAUCGCUCCGGGAAACUGGAAUUAAUACCGAAUACGCCCUACGGGGGAAAGAAUUUUCGGCGAAGGAUUGGCCCGCGUUGGAUUGUCUAGGUGGUGGAGUAAAUGCCUACCAAUGCGACAAUCCUUAGCUGGUCUGACAGGAUGAUCAACCACAUUGGGACUGAGACACGUCCCAAGCUCCUACGGGAGGCAUCCGAGGGGAAUAUUGCGCAAUGGGCGCGAGCCUGAUCCAGCCAUGACGCAUGAGUGAUGAAGGCCUUACGGUUGUAAAGCUCUUUCACCGAUGAAGAUAAUGACGGUAGUCGGAAAAGAAGCCCCGGUUAACUUCGUGCCAGCAUCCGCGGUAAUAGGAACGGGGCUAUCGUUGUUCGGAAUUACUGGGCGUAAAGCGCACGUAGGCGGAUAUAUCAGUCAGGGGUGAAAUCCCGCAGCUCAACUGCGGAACUGCCUUUGAUACUGGGUAUCUUGAGUAUGGAAGAGGUAAGUGGAAUUGCGAGUGUAGAGGUGAUAUUCGUAGAUAUUCGGACGAACGCCAGUGGCGAAGGCGGCUUACUGGUCCAUUACUGACACUUAGGUGCGAAAGCGUGGGGAGCAAGCAGGAUUAGAUACCAUGGUAGUCCACGCCGUAAGUGAUGAAUGUUAUCCGUCGGGCAGAAUUCUGUUCGGUGGCGCAGCUCUCUCAUUAAACAUUCCGCCUGCGGAGUACGGUCGCAAGAUUAAAACUCAAAGGAAUUGACGGGCGCCCGCACAAGCGGUGGAGCAUGUGGUAUAAUUCGAAGCAUCGCGCAGAACCUUACCAGCUCUUGACAUUCGGGGUAUGAGCAUUGGAGACGAUGUCAUUCAGUUAGGCUGUCCCCAGAACUGGUGCUGCAUGGGCGUGGUCAUCGCUCGUGUCGAGAGAUGACGGGGUAAGUCCUGCAUCGAGCGCAACCCUCGCCCUUAGUUGUCAGCAUUUAGCCGGGACCUCUAAGGGGACUGCCGGUGAUAAGCCGAGAAGAAGGUGGGGAUGACGUCAAGUCCUCAUGGCCCUUACGGGCUGGGCUACGCACGAGACACAAUGGUGGCUGACACCGGGCAGCGAGCAAGUGACGUCUAGAUGAUCUCCAAUACCCAUAUCAGUUUCGAAUUCAGUAUGCAAGUCGAGAGCUUGAAGCUGGGAUCGUGGGUAAUCGCGGAUCAGCAUGCUCCCGGUGAAUCUGUAGACGGGGCUUGUGGUCGUGGCCCGGGACACCGGGCC